UACCAGCACCCCGAGUGGUCGGGACGUUUAUUGGGCCUAAAGCAUCCGUAGCCGGUUCUACAAGUCUUCCGUUAAAUCCACCUGCUCAAUAGAUGGGCUGCGGAAGAUACUAUGGAGCUAGGAGGCGGGAGAGGCAAGCGGUACUCGAUGGGUAGGGGUAAAAUCCGUUGAUCCAUUGAAGACCACCAGUGGCGAAGGCGGCUUGCCAGAACGCGCUCGACGGUGAGGGAUGAAAGCUGGGGGAGCAAACCGG
RNAcentral lists this ribosomal RNA (253 nucleotides) under uncultured bacterium. RNAcentral's name for it is "partial 16S ribosomal RNA". It matches the Rfam family "Archaeal small subunit ribosomal RNA", at positions 474 to 727 of the family's 1478-position model. The record is from RNAcentral.